CUACGGGGGGCAGCAGUGAGGAAUAUUGCACAAUGGGGGGAACCCUGAUGCAGCAACGCCGCGUGGAGGAUGACGCAUUUCGGUGUGUAAACUCCUUUUAUAUGUCAAGAAAAUGACGGUAGCAUAUGAAUAAGCACCGGCUAACUCCGUGCCAGCAGCCGCGGUAAUACGGAGGGUGUAAGCGUUACUCGGAAUCACUGGGGGUAAAGGACGCGUAGGCGGGCUUGUAAGUCAGGUGUGAAAUCCUACAGCUUAACUGUAGAACUGCACUUGAAACUACGAGCCUAGAGUAUGGGAGGGGCAGAUGGAAUUAGUGGUGUAGGGGUAAAAUCCGUAGAUAUCACUAGGAAUACCUAAAGCGAAGGCGAUCUGCUGGAACAUAACUGACGCUAAGGCGUGAAAGCGUGGGGAGCAAACAGGAUUAGAUACCCUCGUAGUC
This 439-nucleotide ribosomal RNA is filed under the name uncultured bacterium. Its description in RNAcentral is "partial 16S ribosomal RNA". It matches the Rfam family "Bacterial small subunit ribosomal RNA", at positions 339 to 795 of the family's 1533-position model. The record is from RNAcentral.